AAUUCUCGACAGGCUCUGGAAGAAAAAAAUUUUAAAUGUCAACGUCGCUGGUAUGAUGAGUCAUGAUAUUGUACAAGAAUUUCAAACCGACGAUGUCGUGAUUAUCUGUUGUGCAGGAAUUAUGAUUAGUACCACGAUAAAACGACGUUUUUCAAAGAUGAUCUUAACAGGGAAACAAAGAAAUGCUUGGCCGACACAACUUUACCAUAACACAGUUCAGAAGAACGACUUUUCUUGUAUUUUAUCAAUAUCUUUUUUGCUCCUGAGAAAUUCAUAAGCCAUUUUACAGUGACCCACCUGCCAAAUUGCCAGUAGCAGCGCUAAGACCAAUGAAAUAUGAAGUCGGAAGUCGUAUACCAGAGACCUGAAGACAUGCUUUCCAUUCACCAUCACUAUCAAUGUCUGUCAUAACUGUUAAAGUUUCUUUGCUACCCAAGUACUGAAUCAAAGCAUAUGUUUCCGCUCCAUUAUUGCGAAAAGAAGCCUAAGAAAAUAUCUGAACUGUCAAAAUUGGACCAUGAAGAUAUUCAAUGAGCGCUUGAAAUCAUGAAAACAGUUAUACAAGAGGUAAAAUACAAACCGAGCAGCCCUGUAUUUGUGAAUAAGCACCAUCACGAUUAUGGUCGUAGUUUAAGGUACCAUUGUUUACCAUAGCUGAUAUAUAAGGGUGGUCUGCCUAUAUCAAGAAGAAAAAUCAUUGCUGAAAUGUGGUUUGCUUUGAAGAAAACUUCAAUGGAUAUCAAUCUUACAGCGUUAUCACCAUUUGCAUUACUAUAAGUGUCAAAGAAAACAGCAAGUCCUGAGAAGAAAUUUUUGCUUCCAAAGACUGGACCUAAACAAUACAAAUAACAUUUGUGCAUAAAUUUAUCAUAUGAACUUUCCACAUCCAUAGAUUUAAUGAAAUUUACUAAAUAAACUCAAUUUAUUACCGAAUUCCAUUUUCUCUUUAGCAUAAUGGAACGCAAAGCCAUCUCCAUAAAGUGAAUCUCCAGAACCAUGAACUGAAAAAUGGAUAUGGAUUUCCCAAUCGCGAGCUGUUACAGGCUGUAUGGUAAAAGAAGUUUUCAUGUUAAUUCACUACUCGGACAUAAAACAAAUCUUAUUUUAUUACCACUGACCAAUGUGUUCCAAAUAAACCCUUUUUGACUUUGAUGAUCCUCGGUCAAUCGGAUAUGAUUACUGGUUAUCAAUGUGUCACCACCAAAAUCCCAAAAUUGCAGGCUAGUGCUACCAACUAAAUAAAAACUGCUGUAAGCUCUAAGGACUAUGACAAAAACGCCACAACUUACAUGUUGGAAAACUUUGAAAUACUACUAUUGAUUAAUUCUGAACAUGCUGAGUUAGCAAAUCAAUUGUAGAUUUUCAUCAAUGUCAAUUUAUUUCUACAUAAAUUAAAAAAAUAACCAGCA
Long non-coding RNA from Xenia sp. Carnegie-2017, 1409 nucleotides. RefSeq lists it as uncharacterized. The transcript is spliced from 3 exons. The record is from RefSeq and is a predicted model, not a curated record. NCBI's taxonomy places the organism in Eukaryota, Metazoa, Cnidaria, Anthozoa, Malacalcyonacea, Xeniidae.